AAUUAAUUUUUAUUUAGUUUUUUACUUAUUCCCAGGUACUUUCACCCAUAGAAACUUUUAUAUUAGCCUUGGUUGUAGGUGGCAAUGCAUAAAACCAGAAGUUGAAAUUUUUAUUGGCAUUUAGCCAAUGAGAUCCACCCAUUAGUAGAUUAAACUUUUUCUUUCUCAGAAGAAAACAAUUUGCUGAUUUAUAUUACAGUUAGUAUCCUGAGAGCUUGAUGUAACUUCAGAUGUUUGUAAGUACUGCUUAUUUCAAAUUGGUUACAUAUUACUUGCAGCGAAUUAAGGGAUAAAAGAGAGAACGGCUGGAUAGAGGAAUUUUGAUAAGUCAGGAACCUUUUCCUGGAAAUUAUGCCAUUCUCUUAGAUUGGCCCAGCAGAUCCAGAGCCUCUCUCCCUGUGCACUGACAUCGAAUGAAGCCACAUACGUAUGCCGCAGGCUGUAGAUGAGUCUCACAUAAGCAGACAUGUCCUAAGCCAUGAACCAGUUUCAGAUCUAGAAAUUGAUGAUUGAAGGAGAGACCCUUGAAGGAGGCCUCUACAAUGCUACCUCAAGAAGGUUAUUUUCUCAGCCCGGGAUUUGCAAACUACUGCCUGUAAGCCCAAUGCGAUCAUUCUCGUUCAUGUAUACAGUCUAUGGCUACGCUUGAAUUGCAAUAUCAGGUUUCUAUAGUUGCAACAGAGACUGUGUGGCACAAAACCUGAAUGUUUUAACUAUCAGGACUUUUACAGAAAAAGUAUGCUUACACUGUUCUACACCAAUCAAUUUUUGUUAAUAUGUUAUACAUUCCUGUAUAGUGCAGGAGAUGAAUUUAAUUAUAUUUACUGUAUCACUCUUGUGACAAAUUUAAUAAUAACAAAAUCCUUCUGCCCUAAAAGUCUCAGAAAUUUGAAACAGUAUAUAUCAGGAAUGGAGAAUUAUAGGCCAGAAGAUAGAAGGCUUCAAAAGUCAAUUAUGAAGAAAAUCUAAUGUAUAUAAUGAUGAUACUAGCUAAGAUUAGCUGAGAGCCUCAGAAAUGCCAGACAUUGUGCUAGAGCACUUUACAAGCAUUAGGCCAUGUCAUCCUUCCAUCACUCUGACAUAGUUAAACCAAGAAAAUGAGAAGAGAAAAUAAUAUGUUUCCCAAGGUCACAUAGCUAAUUAGUAACUGGUACCCAACUCAAAUUUGACAUCAAACUCUGUAGUACACCUAUUGUUAAUUGUUAAAACACUUGCUAUGAUAAAGAACAACAUAUUAGUAAGAGUGUUUUUUACACUACUAUAUGAUAUUUUAUAUUAUUUUACAAUGAAAUCAGAAAGUGAAAUUCAAUUACUUUUCACUAUUAGUCAUGCUGCUGACAUCUUAAAUUCUCUAUGUAGUAAUCGGGGCUCAAACCCACACUAUUGUAUCAUUUAUAACAAAGAUUUGGUAUGAUCCCAGAAAGCUGAAAGAGUAUAGUUACCAUCCUGUCAGGGCCUUCGCUUGAUGUCUCUUCUGACUAUACUCAUGUAUUACAUAGGCUGACAGUGUUGGGUGAGUUCAUGUGUCUAAUUAGAGUAGUCUCAUCAAUUGGGGGAAAAUAAAUCAGGGGCUCUAUGUCAAAGAUUGGUUAUAUUUGGUGGACACUCCAGGUACAAUUUCCUAUACUGAUAAAAACUUAACAUUUUUUCCUUGAAAUUGAGAAAGUAAUUUCUAUAAAUGACACCUGAGAUCGUUUGAAAUGAAAUUCAGAAAAUCAGAGAACAAUCUGGCUGCCUUAACUGCUUGGCUGAAAAACAUUGCCUUCUCAGGAUUUAGCUCAGGAUAUGUCCUCGGGGACAUAUUGUUAGAUUUUUGGAGAAGGUGGAAUAACAUCAGACUAGUGUGAUACCACAGGUUUAGAAUAGUUUCAAGGACAUGCAAACUUUUCGGAUAUUAUUAUCAACUUUUCAGUACAUGAGGGCAUUAAUGAUGCAUUUUGAAAAUGAGUAAAAAAAUCAUCAACUUUGUAAUCAUCAAGAUAGUACUCCUAUAUUUAACACAUGCCAUCACGUACCCUUUGAAAAAAUGCAGUUAUGUAUAACAACUAAUUUUUGGGGGCAUUUGGAUGAAUGAGUAAAUGAUAUGGCUAAAUCUAAAUCUUAGGAAACUCUGGUUACAGGGAACCAUUUUCAGAAAACGAAUCAAUAAAUAAAAUAUUGAUAAUAGAACUAAUUCCAGUCAAUAGAAUAAUUUAUUCUCUGGAAGUAUCUAGGUCAUUUUUAUUGAAGCUGCUAGAGAUAUGUAUGAUUUCCUCAGCUCCUAAGUAGAUGAAGUGCAUAAUGUAAAUUAUAAAAUUUUUUCUUGUUACUCAACAACAUUAUUUUUCAGAGGAAUUUAGUUUUGUACUCAUGAAAGUGACAGAAAUUCUUUGCAUUUAGUAAGAUUAUUAAAUUGUCAGUAUCUAGGGCCAUAAGCUCUAACCUUGUUUGUAUAACAGUUGGAACACAGGGGCUGUUAAUGAUUUAAAAUCCUUACAUUAUUCUACCAACUAAUUAUUCUAAAUGCCAUAUAAAAGAUUCUUUCCACUCUCGUUGAGCAGAUGCACACUUGAUUUGCUCUUAUUAGAAUUAUGCACAGCAUAGGAAAAAUGUCAAAAUUCCAAAAGAUAAAUUUUAUUUUGUUGGAUAGAAAACCAUUCAUCUUAAUUAUUUUUGACACCUUUUGCAUUAUGUUAUGAGUAUCUCAAGAGAGAAAAGAGAGCUCAUCUCCUUUAAAAGCAGUUUAUUGAGAGUGGCAUGCUAUUGUCAUUAUCUAAGAAUCCUACACCCUACUUUAAAAAUCUAGGAAAAUAAUAAUAAAAAAAGACAUAGUUUUAAGAAAAUUCAUCUGUGCAAAGCAAGAUAUCAUGUCAAAUAUUUGUAGCUAAUAAAGUAUUUUUCUUAAAUGCAUAUAAAAUACAAAACUGCAUUCAACAACUAUUUUUCUUAGAUACAUGUGACAUAUAACUUGCAAAUUGUCAAAUUUAAAAUAAGAAGUUCUCAAACAAUUGUAUUUAAAUAUGAGGUAAUCGUAUGUAUGUUAUGGUUAAGACAUGACAUCCAUUGAUCUUAGUAUUGGAAAAUAUUCAAUUGCCUCCUAUCAUCAUCAAUUGUCAGUUUGAAAUGACACGCCUAUUAGGAUGGCACAUGAUUAGGCAUAGUUACAAUCACAACUAUUUAUUCAAGGAUCUCUGUCAAUGAGAAUAAAGAGCAAAGCAUGAUUAAUAGAAGGCAAUUGUGAAUACACCAGAGGUUAGACUUUUCAUAGUGACUAGGGUGGGUUAAGUUUACAUAUCACCUGAAGGUGUGUGAAGAAGGCUAAAGAAAAGACAGUAUCAACAGUGAAAGGGACCAUUGAAAAUAUAGUGAUCUGAAGCAAUUGGGGAGUUUGGGAGGCAUGAACAAUAAAUAUUAGUUAGAUAUCACAUCUGACUUAGACAAAAAAUUUCAGAAAUAGAAUCUGGGAGAAAAGUCAGUUAUGUUUAUGUGUGUGUGUGUGUGUGUGUGUGUGUGUGUGUAUGUGUGUGUAAAUUGAGCAAGAUAUAAACACACAACUAUAUCAGAAUGCAGAGAAGGGAUUUCUGAGGAAUAACCCUGAGGUACUAUUGAUUUCUGUACAUGAAAUAUAAGGAUCUUAUACUCAUUCCUCUUCUUCCUUCUACUCAAUUUAGCAUGCUCUCAACAAGAAUAAUUGGCCCAAAUAUUCUCUAUUUUCCUGUAGACUGCUUUUGAAGCCUAUAAUAUCUAUUGAUCACUACAUGAAUACCAAACACCUUAUUCAUAUUUUUAGCUUGAUUUUAGGACUCCUCAUCUUUGCUUUCAAAGUUUUCCUAACUGUGACUGCACAUUACUAGCUAACUAUAUCAGCUCCUGCUCCAAUAAAUACAUGCUAACCAAGUUAAGUGUACCUCUCCCUGCCCCUUCUUGCUGCUGAAGUUGUAUUCUUUCCCCACCUGAACCACACAGAACUGCCAUGGCCUUUCUUCACCCAGUUCUAGUACCUGCUAUGCUUCAAAAAUCAGCUUGGCUCUGCCUCCUCAAGAAAUACCACAUCAAUCAGUCCAGUCCAUAUGAAAAUCAUAGAUGUGUAGAAUAUCUAAAUUCCAGAAACGGAAGGAACAUUCAAGAAUACCCAGCAACCCAGUCCUGUCAUUGGGCAGAUACGGGGGGAAAAACCUAAAUUUUUUGCAAGAUCAUAAAGCCAAUAAUUAGCAGACCUGGUUUUCAAGCAGAGAUUUGAGCACAGAGCCUGGGCUCUCCUUAGAAGAUCAUACAGUCUCCUUUAUUAAUUAAGUAAUAAAAAUCAUCAAAAAUUAGCGAAGAGAAAAAAAGGGCAACCUUUCACUAACUAGAUAAGUUCAAUUUAUACUUAGGUUUUUUCCCCCAUAUCGACCCAGUGACAGGACUGGGUUGCUGGGUAUUCUUGAAUGUUAUUAUAAAGAUUCAAUGAGAAAAUGGAAGCGAUUUCUCUAUUACAAUACCUUACAGACAGUAGGUGUUCAGUAAAUGUUAUGUAACUAACAGAUUGCUUAAUUUGCAUGCUUUAUUUUCCCAACCUGUGUACACUCUUUUAAGGCCUGAGUAGUAUUUUUCUUUUCAUUGUUUUACUCUCAUCAACUAACCCAGUAAUUACAUAUUAAGCACUUAAUACACAUUUUUCCAAUGAAUUUAACGUCUCCUUAGUUUUCUUCUUAUUAUUCUCUUACUUAAGUCUGUUCAUAAAGAACAUAAAGAAUCUGAGAGCUUCUAAGAGAACUACACUUAACAAGUGAAUACUCAUAUCAAAAAGUGUAACUAAAAAAUCAGGCAUUUUACCAUCUGAGGAAAAUGUAUGUGAAUACCAAGGAUUCAUUUAACAAUAUUCAUCAAGAAUUUAUUUGAAAGACUCUUUGAAUUGGUCAACAGGUCUUGCCAUUUUUCAUUUGCAAUAUUGGGGAGAAUUUUUCUCUGAAUAUGAUAUUGUUAAGCAUUGGAGUGAUUUAUAAAAUUACAUUUUAUUAACAUUUUUGUUAAAUCCUUAAAAGGGAAAAGAUUCUUACUUGUUUCUUACACUUCAGUGGUAGAACUUUUGUGUAACUAGACUAACAGUCUUAACAGAUUAAUGCCAGUUUUGCUACAUGGUAGUAACACUACAAAAAUAAACUGGUAACAUUAUCGUACAGACUUUUUGUGAAUAAUUUUGCAUGGUAUUUCUUUCGGUAUUGUUUUGUUACUUUGAAUGUAUAGCUUGGUAUCAUAAAAUUAAUAUAAUGACCCUAUAGAAUAUGUUAUAAAGAAAAUAAAGAUAUUAAUUGAUCUGCUACAAAAACUUGAAAUAGCUAUAAUUCUGUGUUUAGAAAUUGCACCAAUAUAAAUGAAUACAUUGAAUAUAGAAUAAAUAGUAAGUUUCAAAAUCAGUAAGUGAAAUAUUUGAUAUAUUAUCCUGUGCUUCUAAAUGCACAAAUGGCAGCUUAGGUAUUUAAAAUAUGUGGUACUAAGACAGUACCUGAGAUUGCAAACAUAAUGAUAUGUUUUCUUUUAAUGUAGACACUAAAUACAACAAAAACUCCUACAUUUUAAACCAAUGAUCAAGACAAAAAAAAAGUGUCAAAUGUAGUUUCACUAUCUUAUAGAAGGAAAAAGACACUUCUUAGGUUUACAGUGUCCUUUGUUGCCUCCUUUCAAACAUUCUGCUAUGUGAUACCAAGUGAAUUUUUCCCUAAGGUUAAGAAUGCAUGAGAGACAUUUUAAAAAUCAUAAAGUUCAUGGUCUUCCUAGUGUAGUAAUAGCUUCAAGAUGAUUUGAAGCCCAAGAAAUUUAAAAUAAAAAUGGUCAAACAUUAUUUUUUAUUGAGAGAAUAUUUUCUUCCCCAUACCAAUUGUCUAACCACUUCUAUUUAGUGAAAUACUAUAUGUAUUUAUAGAUACCUAGGCUAUGAAAAUCUUUUAUAAUAUGCUCUUAGAGUUUCCAAUAUUUUAGAUAUCUUUACUUCCACAUUGUGGGAAAAUUGUCAAUAAAGAUGUAUGCCCUUGAUGAGAAAAAGAUCAUAGCCUCACUAAGAAAUUACAAAGAAGAGAACUAACUCUCACAAUCCAUUAAAUCAAGAUGUCCUUUCCUAGGCCAAACACCUUGCUAUAAAUUCUAUCCCCAUUGUUACUUCCUAGAAAGAACAUUUGCUCUCCAUCACUACAAGAGCCUCUUCACUAUUUAUAGUGCUUAAGUCUCUGCCCCUCGCUCUAACAUUCAUGUCUCUAGGUGUUACUAACCCCCGUUUCUUUAGCCUUUUCUCCUAGGUCUCAUUUCUCCAGUUGUUAAUCAUUUUUAUUACCCCUCUUUGGUCUCUUUCCAAAUUCUCUUUAUCAUGACUCAGUUAGGGAUGUCAAAUGAAACCAACUAUGCUAAUAAAUAUUUGACCAGUGCUGGAGUUAAGAAGAAAAUGUGUUUAGUGAUUUAUAUAGACACUACUUGCCUGAAGUCUCCUUAGCUAAGGAUUAAAGACAAUGGAACUUGGAAUUCUUGAGGUUUGGUCUUAAAAAGAAAAUAAUAGGACAUUGUAAAACAGUAAGAGCUGAAACGGUGAAACUGAUUCAAACUGUGUAAGAGGCAAAACAAUGAGAACGAAAGAGAAAGAAAAUGUCAACACAAUGCCUUAUGGACAGAACCAGAAAUAAAAUGAGAGACUAAGAUAAAUAUCAAUAACCAGGAUGAUAGUGAAAUGCAAUGGGGGAGAGCUUAUAGUUGAAGUAUGUUCCUUCAUGAAUGUCAUGAAUGAAGCUGGAGUAUCUCAGGUUCAUCAUUAUUGGUCAUUUGCCUGUUUGUGUAGGUAGACAAGGCAGAUGGAAUCCAAUGUAUAUUUAAGGCAGAUAUUAUUUCAGUUGUAGCUAUAAUAUAUUUGGAUUAUUCCAUAUAAUAACUGCAGUUUUUUUUUCUCUUCAUUUGUUAACAACUUGUUUAAAGUUGAUUUCCUUGCAAUUAUUCCACAAAAAAUGGCAUGGCAAAAUUUUGAACUGUGUAAGGGAAAUCCUCCAUCUCCAAAUCUCUCUCAAAGAGACAUUUAUUUGAGAUUUUACCAAAAUAAGACAUUAUUUUACCAAUUCAAGACAAACAAAAUGAUACUUCUCUUCUUGCCUGUCAUAUGUAAACAUGAGGUUAGCAAUUUUAUCUGUUUUAUUCACUAUUGUAUCCCCAGUACCUUGAACAUUGUGGCAGCUCAAAAAACACAGUGGUGGCUCAAUAAAUGAGUGAACAGUAUUUUCCUCUACUUUCCCAUCUUGGUGAGUGGUGAUGCUCUACCAAGUUAAAGAUGCAAGACACAUACUUGACAGCCCUGAUUCCUAUGCCUUAUCUUCUUUUUCUUUUGUCAUUUUCAUAAAUGAUUUAAGUCUUUCAUAAAUGUUAACCUAUGCCUUAGUCUUUCCAUCUAGUCCUUCGACACAUCCAGAAAUGUCAACUCUUUAAUCUGAGCUCUCCUUUUAUUUCCUCACAUUUGACUUAUUUUGUGUCAUUUUAACUACUCACCUGAUUUACUAAAAUUGGCUUAGAACUCCCCUUUCUCACUGCAGAUAAUUUUCCAAAAUGCUAUCAAAAUAAUCAGAGCAGACUUUCUAAAAUAUAAAUAUGAUUGUCACACAUUCCAACUUUAACAGCUUUAUCAUAUUUGAAAUUUAGAAAAGCCACCAUAUCAGCACAUGAGCUCCUAGCUAUAUCUCCAGCUCAUUUCCCAGUUUUUCUUUCCUCUAGUCCUAUUUUACCAUCCCAUAUGCUAUAACCAUACAGAGGACUGUAGUCAUUAAAUAUCAUUAUGCUUUUAUAUAUGCUUUUUUUAAAUCCAUCUAAAAUCUUAAUACUUCUUUCUCUUAUUUUCUCUAAAUUCUCCUAUUCAAUUAAAAUUUUCCUCAGCAGCAGUUAACUCUGUUGACCACACAUUUCUGCUUACAACAUUUUUUUUCUCAUUUGGAGUUCUAAGAACUUACACUUUCUGACAUUUUCUCAUACUCCAAUAGCAGCUCUUCUGGGUGUCAUUUUGGGGUUUCACUUAUUCUAAUGUUUCAUCUAUGAAAAUAUUAAACACUGUGGGUCCCAGGGCCUGGAUCUAAAUCCUGCUUUUGUUUAAUUCUAUAUUCUCUUUGUGGCAUAUCUAAAUCCAAAGUGUAGUUUCAACUUCCUUUUUUUUCUUUAUCUUUUGAGAUUUCACUAAAUUAUAUUUGCCAAUUAGACAUGUGUAUUUAACUUGAUACAUCUUUUUGGAUAGCUCUCAGGCACUAUCCAAAGAUUUUAACUUGUAUUCAUUUGACUUGUUUUCUUGCACAUUUCAACCUUUUAGACAUGUAACAUCCUCUCAAUUACUCAUGCAAGAAACUCUGACACAAAUUCUUUUUCAUCUUACUCCUCUAACUUUUGUCUGUCCCCAUGGCCAACACCUCAGUUAAAACAUUAGUUUCUCACCCUCUCACCUAGAAUUUUAAUACCACCUCUUCCAGAGCCAAAGUUAACGUUUAAAAAUACAUACCUGAUUGUGUCACUUCACUUCUCAAAUCCUUUCUAUGUCUUUCCAUUGCUCUUAGUUUGAGAGAAAAAUGUGAACAUGGCUUAUAAGACCUAUCUCUAACAUUCUACUGCCCAGAUCCUUCCUUUUUUAUUGUUUUGCUCUUUCUCCUCUCUCCAUCUACUUCUUUCAGUUCCUUCAUGAUACUCAUAAUUCUAUUAAUUUGUAUUCUUUAGACCAAUGUUGAAUUUAGAAUAUAUCUCAAUUGAUUUUCUUUUCCUCCAAUAGUCCCUUAGGAACUUACCUCUCCCACUCUCUGGUCUUUGCUCACAUAAUUUUUCACUCUUUCUUCUGUCACACAGAUCCUUUACUAUGCCUAUCUCCUUCCUCUCCAGGCCUUUGUAGAUGUUAGUCCCUUUGUAUGAAAUAUCUUACUUGACAUUCUGACUACUUGUUUCUUCUUUCCAUCUUAGAUAUCAACUCAAUAUCUUUCUCUCAGAGUAGUUCUUUCUGAUCAUCCAAGCUAGAGUAGGCCUCCAACCCCAUCCAUUCCUUCCUAACAUUUUUCUCAGUUGUUUUCCUAACUUGUCACUAUGUAUUUAUGUGUCCACUCACCUGUUUCUUAACUGUCUCCCAUCUUAGAGUGAAAGCUACAGGAGGUCAGGGACCAUGUCUGUUUUGAUUAUCAUAUUGUACAGGCUAUUAAUAUUGGGUUUGGCCAAUAAAUAUUUAUUGAUUAAAUGAAUAAAUAUAGUUUUGUAGUUCCAGAUAUUAAAGUAAAUGUAAUAUACAUUGGCUCUUCUUGCAUCUCUAAAAUAAACAUAAUUCAAGCUGUGCAAGGAAAAUGUUUUGGUCCCUUUCUCCUGUUCAUAAGUUUACAAGCCACAUAGACCCUCAGAUCAUGGCACCAAUUUGGAGGGCCCUGGUUUUGCUCUUUAUCAGAUACUAAGAGCAAAGUUGCAGGAAAGUGUGAUGUCUUAUGCUCUUUGGCAUGUUAGACUCUGAGCAGAUGGAUUGGGUGGCAACCAGACUGAUUUAGACCCUCUCUGGAGUUCCAGGAGACAAGAAAUGGACUGAGGAAUGGCAGAGCUACAGUAUAGAAAACAUUCAUGGAUUGAGACAAUUUUCAUAGUAAAAUCUUAGAAAACUUAAACAAAAAAAAAUAUUACCUGAGUACUUCCACAUAAACUUAAUGAUGCCAUUCAGAGUAGGACCAUCAUUCUCUUUGUAUUACACUUGCUAGUAAUUCAAAAUUCAUCCCCCACAAUAUACUCUUUCUAGCUAAUGCUCAUUAAGAUAAUUCAUUUAUUUGAUAUCCUUUUGAUGCUUCAUAUUGGCAAAAUAUACAUCGUGUUAUAAAAAUGUACUAAUUUAAAAUAGUUUUAGAGAAAGUUAUAGUAUAUUAAAAAUAUUCUUCUGAGUCAGGAGAAUACCAUUUUGUGACUUUGAACAAAUGACUUACCUUGUCCAGGUCUCAGUUUGACCACUUAUAAAGCUUAUAUUCAAUCUUUUUUGUAUUUAUGAUUAUUUAAUGUUCUAAAACUAGGCCUGUACCUUUGUUGUAUUUUUUAUUUACUCUGAGCUGAGAAACUGUUCUCCCAAUUUUUGCUGUUCUGCUGUCCAUUAACUGGAAAACCUCAUGGCAUGGUAGUUGGGCCCUGAAGAUAGAAUGAUUUAGAAUCAGUUUUCCUAUUGUAUCUUCCACAGCAAUUUUACAGAAACUUUUUCCCCUGUAUUAGUUUCCUACUGCUGCUGUCACAAAUUAUGAUAAACUUAGUUGCUAAAAACACACACAGGCACACAAUUUUUUCCUCUUAUAAUUCUGGAGGUCUGAAGUCCAAAAUGUGUCAGCAUAGCUUCAUUUCUUCUGGGGGCUCUGAAGGAGAACCUGUUUUCUUGUAUUUUCCAGCUUAUAUUAGCCACCUACAAUCUUCAACUUUUAAUUCCUUCUUAAUCUUCAAAGUGCACAGUGUAACAACUUCAAAUGUCUCUCUCACUCUGAUCUCUGUUUUUGUCAUCACAGAUCAUCUUCUGAUUCUAUUAUGACCCUUCUAACCCUCUCUCAUAAGGACUCUAAUGAUUAUGGUUGAGUUCACCAGGUAAUUCUGAAAAAUCUCCCAACAGCAAAAUUUGUAAUGUAAUCACAUCUACAGAGCCCCUUUGUGCCAUGUAAAGUAACAUAUUUGCAGGUACCAGUGAUUAGGAGACAUUAGGACAUGGAGUCCAUUAUUUAGCCGAGAACAUUUUUCUUAUUUUUUUUCCCCAAAUAACCAAACUGGUGAGGGAUGCAUCUGACAACACAGUGCCAACUCAAAGAUAAUCUAACCGUCAUUAUUACUUCAUCUGUUGUUGAUACUCAGUCAAAUUACUUCUCUCAUUAUUUUACUGCUUUUAGUCAGCUGUAAGGCACACAGAACUCCAUGUACUAUGAAGAGCUUCUGUGGUUGAAGGUCACUAUUCAUUGAAGUCUGGAAUGUUGCUGAUAUUGCUGAUAGUAUGUACUAUUACCUACUGUAGGUCCAAGAAUAUCAGUGGCAAACUUUAAUUUGUGCUAAAUGUCUAUAUGAACAAUAAUUGAAGAAAUUCCUUAAGUAGAGACAUUUGAACACACAUGCAUGGAGAUGAAUGUCUUAAUUCAGUUCUAGAGUGUAUAUGACAUACAUUUCUAAUCUAAGCACAUAUGCCUUACAUUAGGAUGUUAGGAGUAAUUUUCGCUUUUUCUUCACUGAAAUCUAUAUAAAAUAUUACCCCAGUAUUAUUUGGAUUUUUUUAAUGUUCUGUUAAUAUAUUAUUUUCUUAUUUUUUAA
Long non-coding RNA from Pteropus alecto (black flying fox), 11250 nucleotides. RefSeq lists it as uncharacterized. NCBI's taxonomy places the organism in Eukaryota, Metazoa, Chordata, Mammalia, Chiroptera, Pteropodidae. The record is from RefSeq and is a predicted model, not a curated record. The transcript has 3 exons.